RNAcentral lists this small nuclear RNA (107 nucleotides) under Propithecus coquereli (Coquerel's sifaka). The record is from RNAcentral. Lineage: Eukaryota; Metazoa; Chordata; Mammalia; Primates; Indriidae.
UCGCUCACUUUGGCAGCGUAUAUACUAAAAUUGGAAUGAUAUAGAGAAGAUUAGCACAGUCCCUGGGCAAGGAUGAAAUGCAACUUUGUGAAACAUUUUAUAUUUUU